ACGAAGGGGGCUAGCGUUGCACGGAAUGACUGGGCGUAAAGGGCGCGCAGGCGGCUGUCAUAGUCAGGCGUGAAAUUCCUGGGCUCAACCUGGGGACUGCGCUUGAUACGUGAUGGCUUGAGUGUGGAAGAGGGUCGUGGAAUUCCCAGUGUAGAGGUGAAAUUCGUAGAUAUUGGGAAGAACACCGGUGGCGAAGGCGGCGACCUGGUCCAUUACUGACGCUGAGGCGCGAAAGCGUGGGGAGCAAACAGGAUUAGAUACCCUGGUAGUCCACGCCGUAAACGAUGUGCGCUGGAUGUUGGGCGGCCUAGCCGUUCAGUGUCGUAGCUAACGCGAUAAGCGCACCGCCUGGGGAGUACGGCCGCAAGGUUG
RNAcentral lists this ribosomal RNA (372 nucleotides) under uncultured bacterium. RNAcentral describes it as "bacterial SSU rRNA". It matches the Rfam family "Bacterial small subunit ribosomal RNA", at positions 525 to 896 of the family's 1533-position model. The record is from RNAcentral.